RNAcentral lists this ribosomal RNA (920 nucleotides) under uncultured organism. RNAcentral describes it as "bacterial SSU rRNA". It matches the Rfam family "Bacterial small subunit ribosomal RNA", at positions 27 to 941 of the family's 1533-position model. The record is from RNAcentral.
GAACGAACGCUGGCGGCGCGUUUUAGCAUGCAAGUCGAGCGGUAAGCAUCUUCGGGAUGCCUAGAGCGGCGAACGGGUGAGUAACACGUAGGUAAUCUGCCGUGCGAUUGGGGAUAGCCUGUGGAAACACAGGGUAAUACCGAAUACGACCUUCGGGGGAAAGGCGCUUCGGCGCCGUCGUACGAUGAGCCUGCGGCGCAUUAGUUAGUUGGCGGGGUAAUGGCCCACCAAGGCGACGAUGCGUAGCCGACCUGAGAGGGUGAUCGGCCACACUGGGACUGAGAUACGGCCCAGACUCCUACGGGAGGCAGCAGCUAAGAAUCUUCCGCAAUGGACGAAAGUCUGACGGAGCGACGCCGCGUGGGCGAGGAAGGCCGAAAGGUUGUAAAGCCCUUUUCUGCGUGAGGAAUAAGAAUCGGAGGCAAUGCCGGUUUGAUGACGGUAGCGCAGGAAUAAGCCCCGACCAAUUACGUGCCAGCAGCCGCGGUAACACGUAUGGGGCGAGCGUUGUUCGGAAUUAUUGGGCGUAAAGGGCGCGCAGGCGGUCAUGCAAGCUUGGUGUGAAAGACCACGGCUUAACGGUGGAAACGCGCUGAGAACUGCAUGACUUGAGUUUCGGAGAGGGAACUGGAAUUCCAGGUGUAGGGGUGAAAUCUGUAGAUAUCUGGAAGAACAUCAGUGGCGAAGGCGAGUUCCUGGCCGACAACUGACGCUGAGGCGCGAAAGCGUGGGGAGCGAACAGGAUUAGAUACCCUGGCUAGUCCACACCGUAAACGAUGUGCACUAGGUGUUGGGCUUUCGAAGGCUCAGUGGCCGCCAAAGUUAAACACCGUUAAGGUGCACCGCCCUGGGGAAGUAUGCCCGCCAAGGGUGAAACUUCCAAGGAAUUGACGGGGGCCCCGCACAAGCGGUGGAGCAUG